Molecule: transfer RNA, 58 nt
Filed under: Nectoneanthes uchiwa
Lineage: Eukaryota; Metazoa; Annelida; Polychaeta; Phyllodocida; Nereididae
Description: tRNA-Ser
Source: RNAcentral
GUAGUAUAUAUAAAUGAUUUUGAAAAUCACUAAAGAUGGAUAAAACCACCAUACUACU